Molecule: long non-coding RNA, 1026 nt
Filed under: Canis lupus familiaris (dog)
Lineage: Eukaryota; Metazoa; Chordata; Mammalia; Carnivora; Canidae
Description: lncRNA (ENSCAFG00000052011.1)
Source: RNAcentral
AUUUCUUUAAUGAAUCUUGAAAUUAAUGUAUGAGUAGCAGCAUCACACAUCAUUGUGCGUGUGUGUAUACGGGCGUGUUAAAGCAUUCAUUUGUUCGAUGGAAAGAACAUACCACACUUUGUACGUAGCCUAUUUUGAUACAUCUUUUUUUAAUGGAUUUUAUUUUAUUUAUUUUACAUAAUAACCUCUAUACUGAACACAGGGCUCAAACUCACAAACCUGAGAUAAAGGCUCGCAUGUUCUACUGACUGAGCCAACCAGGUGCCCCGCACCCCUUUUGUUUUGUUUUCAAAUUUUUUCCCCCAACCAUGAAGGCCUCAGUACGUGUGGGUGGCUCAUAGGACACUAGCCCUCAGAGAGGCCUGGAAAGACGGACUAGAGAUCUCAGCAGGGGGCCAAAUCCAAUCCCCCUUUCCCUGGAAGGUCUUUUUUUUAAAAAAUAUUUUAUUUAUUGAUUCAUGAGAGACAGAGAGAGAGAGAGAGAGGCAGAGACCCAGGCAGAGGGAGAAGGGUCCCUGCGGGGGCCCGAUGCAAGACUGGACCCCGGGACCCCGGGUCACGCCCUGGGCUGCAGGCGGCGCUAAGCCGCUGGGCCCCGGGCUGCCCUUCCGUGGGGGUCCUAUUCCCGCCUCGGGGCCCAGCAGCACCUCGGACGCCCCAGGCUCGGCUCUGCUACCCGCGGCGGGAUCCGGGAUCCGGGAUCCGGGAUCCGGGAUCCGGGACCCGGGCGGGUCUUACCCACUGGGCUGUGUGCACAGGUGCCAGCUGGCGGGACAGCCUUGUAUUCGGGGUACCCCUGCCCGUGACGUCGUGGGCAGGCAGCGGUUUGCCGGACGGCUUAGGGGAUGCCCGGGGGUGCGGCGUCCCCCCAGCCAGCUGCGCAGGACGUUUUACCAGUGAGCAUCUUCACCAGCAGUGUAUGCAGGGAUCUCACCAUUAAAAUAUUUGAAUUGAGAGAAACACCCAUUCCAUAAAAUUAUAUACUUUUAAGGUAUGCAAUUCAGCGGUUUUAGUACGUUCACUAAG